This 157-nucleotide ribosomal RNA is filed under the name fungal endophyte sp. AP192. Its description in RNAcentral is "5.8S ribosomal RNA". It matches the Rfam family "5.8S ribosomal RNA". Rfam says of the family: 5.8S ribosomal RNA (5.8S rRNA) is a component of the large subunit of the eukaryotic ribosome. It is transcribed by RNA polymerase I as part of the 45S precursor that also contains 18S and 28S rRNA. Lineage: Eukaryota; Fungi. The record is from RNAcentral.
AAACUUUCAACAACGGAUCUCUUGGUUCUGGCAUCGAUGAAGAACGCAGCGAAAUGCGAUAAGUAGUGUGAAUUGCAGAAUUCAGUGAAUCAUCGAAUCUUUGAACGCACAUUGCGCCCCUCGGUAUCCCGGGGGGCAUGCCUGUUCGAGCGUCAUU